RNAcentral lists this unclassified non-coding RNA (326 nucleotides) under Hevea brasiliensis (rubber tree). Lineage: Eukaryota; Viridiplantae; Streptophyta; Magnoliopsida; Malpighiales; Euphorbiaceae. The record is from RNAcentral.
AUACAACAGAGGGUGCAUCGGAUGUGGGUGACAUGAGGGGUCAGUAGCACAGAUGAGUCUUUGAAAUAAUUUAAGGUUUUUGUUAGAGAUGGAGAAGGGUAUCCAAAAAAAUCCUAAGAUUUGUUCCCAUCCCUUUUUUCUUCCUCUCUCUUUCAUUUUUAAUCGUUUUAUGAUGUUGUGUUGGAUCAAGUUUGUAGCUUGUUCCUAUGAUUUGAGGCUAGCUGCAUUCCUAAUUCCAAGGAACAUGUUGGCUUGAUCCUGAAAUGGAAUGAAAUUAGAAUUCUAGGAUAGAUCUCAAUUCUGUUUUAUUAUUUUGUAUGCUAGGA